GACGAACGCUGGCGGCGUGCUUAACACAUGCAAGUCGAACGGAAAGGCCCUGCUCUUGUGGGGUGCUCGAGUGGCGAACGGGUGAGUAACACGUGAGUAACCUGCCCUUGACUUUGGGAUAACUUCAGGAAACUGGGGCUAAUACCGGAUAGGAGCUCCUGCUGCAUGGUGGGGGUUGGAAAGUUUCGGCGGUUGGGGAUGGACUCGCGGCUUAUCAGCUUGUUGGUGGGGUAGUGGCUUACCAAGGCUUUGACGGGUAGCCGGCCUGAGAGGGUGACCGGCCACAUUGGGACUGAGAUACGGACCAGACUCCAACGUGAGGCAGCAGUGGGGAAUAUUGCAGAAUGGGCGGAAGCCUGAUGCAGCAACGCCGCGUGCGUGAUGACGGCCUUCGGGUUGAAAACCGCUUUCGCCGGUGACGAAGCGUGAGUGACGGUAAUGGGUAAAGAAGCACCGGCUAACUACGUG
This 468-nucleotide ribosomal RNA is filed under the name uncultured bacterium. Its description in RNAcentral is "partial 16S ribosomal RNA". It matches the Rfam family "Bacterial small subunit ribosomal RNA", at positions 28 to 507 of the family's 1533-position model. The record is from RNAcentral.